This is a long non-coding RNA of Podarcis raffonei (Aeolian wall lizard), 606 nucleotides long. RefSeq lists it as uncharacterized. The record is from RefSeq and is a predicted model, not a curated record. The transcript has 3 exons. NCBI's taxonomy places the organism in Eukaryota, Metazoa, Chordata, Lepidosauria, Squamata, Lacertidae.
CUCUUUCAGGCCCCUGUAACUGCCUUCAUACCAACUGACAAACCUGUUCCUCCUUGGAAUUCUGAGCAAGCUCCAGUAUUUACAGUGCUACUGUCAUCACAAAAGGAUCCAUGGGUGAGGCCCAGUGCGGUUACUGAGAAUCCAGCUGAACUUCAGUCAUGAAGAUCCUUCAUUGCCUCUCUGCUGCCAUCUUACUAUUACUAUGGACUGUUCAAGAAGACAGCCCUGCAGACGCCGCACUUCUUACUUGCUCCUCCAUGGGAGGGUACUGCAUUCAGCCAGUCAAUCAGACCUGCCCUUCGGGUCUAUUCCUGGAUGUGCCCUGCCAUUUCAAAAGAGUCUGCUGCUCAAAGAUGGGGGAUUAGCCUUCAUGUGCAUCCUCACCCAUCUCACCUGUUCUUCAAGUUGGCUGCUGGAAGCUCAGCUGCAAUGACUUCUGUCAGCAAGGCCUUCCUCGCCAUUCUGAAACAACACUUGGGAACAACCAGCAUUGAUUGUCCAGGAAUCCUCAUUGAUUGUUCAGACCUCAUCUAAGAUUUUAUUUCAGUCAUAUCUUCAUGUAUCUAUGCUUGGCAAAUAAAGUUCCCCUGUGGAAGGAGGGGCAAA